CUACUACUUUCUGGUAAUGAAAUCUGUACUUUGCAAACACUAUAGCAAUUAUCUCCAUGGAAAAGUUCUGAUAGGAAAAGAAUAUUAUUUUAACCUUCUUUAUUAUGAUUUAGCAGCUGGAAACAAGGAAAAUGUCCAGGACUGCUGUGCUACUCAUCUCUCUGCAGACUAUCAGCAACAACUCCACAGACCAAGCUGGGAACCGACGGUUUCAUGUAAUAAGUAUUUGGAUGCGUUUUCAAGUAAGGACUGGGAGAGAGAAAGAAAAAUGGAUGUAAUCUCUUGCAUCCUUUCUGUAUGGCAGCAAGAUCAUCGAGAGGCCGAAAGGAUCCAGUUGCCUAACCCUGCAGAGCCUGGUUAUCCAUUUGGAGAUCCGCUUGAGUUACUCUAGAGCUUGGCACAUCCCCAGUUUGCCUCCCUGGUAUCCUGCAGGCUUUCUGCCACUUCAGCAGCACAUCUUCUGCUGGAGCUGUGCUAUUCCUUCCCCGCAGCCUGCAAGGCAGAAGCUGUUUGCGAGCCUCUGUGGGAGUUACUGCUACGUUUGUGGAUACGUACAAGUUCUGAAGUAAAAAUAUGACUCAGAAUAGCUCCGCCUUACUCCUAUUCCCUAGAAACACGACUUCGACAAGGCUUACUUUGACCGUCUGCGAGGCGCUGAGGGUAUGAAAGCGUACCACAGAGCGAGCAAGCUCGUAUCAUCAAACACAGCAAGCUAGUACAAAAAUUUGUUUAAGUGAUGUAGUGUGGUGCUGAUCUAAAGUGGUCUGGAAUACAAUGAAAGGCUUUUUGUAGCAUCCUAAACAGAAGGAUAUUGAAGGGAGCUGAUUCUGCUUUGAUCCUUAUGCUUGUUGUCAAAGCGCUUGGGAUUGAAGAGACUGUUGGCUACAAUUGACUGUGACAAUUAGGAGAUGAUCAGAGCCCUAGAGUGGAGCACUUAAAGGGUUUGCAUUUAAAGGACUCUCAGAGCACUAAUUGUAUAAAAUUCUAGUAACUGCACAUUCUCUUGCAGGAAAGGUAAUGG
Molecule: long non-coding RNA, 1021 nt
Organism: Egretta garzetta (little egret)
Lineage: Eukaryota; Metazoa; Chordata; Aves; Pelecaniformes; Ardeidae
Exons: 4
Source: RefSeq, a predicted model, not a curated record